AACUGGUAUACAAUGAAUAACUUUGCAUGGUCGAAUUUUUGAGGUUAUAAAGUUUUUUUUAUUCUUAUCGAGACUUUCAGCCCGAGGCUAGUUCGUCUCGAAUGGUUACCAAUGUUCUAGAAACGUAUUCAGUACAUAAAAAUACAGCAUUCAGCUACACAGAGCGAAAAAAAGUUGUGAUUUUAACAUUUAUCUAAUCUUGUUUUAACAAUUAGGAAAAUUUGGUAUUCUUGAGUGCUAAAACGUUUAAUUCAAAAGUAAAAUAUUUGAUAUGACAGUUUUUUCCUCAGUGUAAACCCGUUAUUUUUACAGUAAAACCACUCAAAAUAAAAUGGAAAAAAUAUUCAAAUUUACUUGAAUAUUUCGUAUUUUUGGCAACACAGACAACAAAAAAUAAUGAAACUGGCAGCCCACGACAAUCUGUCAAAAUCGAAAACAGAAAAAGGAGGGAGAUUUAUCCCGCAAAGGGUUGUGCCGAAAGAAGUGCUAAUGGUCAACAUGAAAGAUGAUUUUCUGCUAAUCGUAUCCCUCCAAAAACACAGGAAUCCCGUGCCAUUCGCGACAUGUAUCUGGUUCGGUGUCUGGAGAAAGACCACCGGAGGAUCUGCCUCGAUGUGGUUUUGAAAUUCAUCACGUCGGAGUGAUCUGUGUGGACAGAACUUUAAAUGCCGAUCCAGCCGAUCGUUACAUACAAGCUCCAACCCAAGUCCAACCUCGUUUAGGGUGAGAAUCUGCCCGCUCACACGGUUAUGGAAGGAAGCAAAAUUCGUCUGCAUCAUAAUUCCGAAGAAUCAAUAUCGCAGAGCUUCACAGCAAUGGUGCCUUACGGUGAUUUAGGAUCAUGAAUUUCCAAGCGAAUGCACACCAUUAUUUAUCGUUGCAAUAACUGGAAAAUGAGCAUGCCAAUAUACUUGCGCAAGGACAUCAACAAGAUGAUGGUUCAGACAAA
Molecule: long non-coding RNA, 949 nt
Organism: Armigeres subalbatus
Lineage: Eukaryota; Metazoa; Arthropoda; Insecta; Diptera; Culicidae
Exons: 3
Source: RefSeq, a predicted model, not a curated record